GGGCCGGUAGUUCAGUCUGGGAGAACGCCGGUUUUGCACACCGGAGGUCGAGGGUUCAAAUCCCUCCCGGUCCA
RNAcentral lists this transfer RNA (74 nucleotides) under Nitrososphaerota archaeon. RNAcentral describes it as "tRNA-Ala". It matches the Rfam family "tRNA". Rfam says of the family: Transfer RNA (tRNA) molecules are approximately 80 nucleotides in length. Their secondary structure includes four short double-helical elements and three loops (D, anti-codon, and T loops). Further hydrogen bonds mediate the characteristic L-shaped molecular structure. tRNAs have two regions of fundamental functional importance: the anti-codon, which is responsible for specific mRNA codon recognition, and the 3' end, to which the tRNAs corresponding amino acid is attached (by aminoacyl-tRNA synthetases). tRNAs cope with the degeneracy of the genetic code in two manners: having more than one tRNA (with a specific anti-codon) for a particular amino acid; and 'wobble' base-pairing, i.e. permitting non-standard base-pairing at the 3rd anti-codon position. Lineage: Archaea; Thermoproteati; Nitrososphaerota. The record is from RNAcentral. RNAcentral also lists the same sequence under 1 other name.